CAGUGUGCUCAGCCUACGGGCAGCAGUGGGGAAUUUUUUGGACAAUGGAAACCCUGAUCCAGCCAUCCCGCGUGCGAUGAAGACCUUCGGGUUGUAAGCACUUUUGGCAGGAAAGAAACGGCGCAGGAUAAUACCCGUGCAACUGACAGUACCUGCAGAAUAAGCACCGGUAACUACGUGCCAGCAGCCGCGGUAAUUCGUAGGGUGCAAGCGUUAAUCAGUGUUACUGGGCAUCUAGUGCGCAGGCGGUUCCGGAAAGAAGAUGUGAAAUCCGGGAAGCUUAACUUUGGAACUGCAUUUUUAACUACCGAGCUAGAGUGUGUCAGAGGAGGUGGAAUUCCGCGUGUAGCAGUGAAAUGCGUAGAUAUGCGGAGGAACACACCGAUGGCGAAGGCAGCCUCCUGGGAUAACACUGACGCUCAUGCACAGCGUGGGAGCAAAACCGGGAUUAGAUACCCGUGUAGU
This 465-nucleotide unclassified non-coding RNA is filed under the name uncultured Bordetella sp. RNAcentral describes it as "partial 16S-23S ribosomal RNA intergenic spacer". It matches the Rfam family "Bacterial small subunit ribosomal RNA", at positions 325 to 794 of the family's 1533-position model. The record is from RNAcentral. Lineage: Bacteria; Pseudomonadati; Pseudomonadota; Betaproteobacteria; Burkholderiales; Alcaligenaceae.